AUACGUAGGUGACAAGCGUUAUCCGGAUUUACUGGGCGUAAAGGGCGUGUAGGCGGUCUUGCAAGUCAGAAGUGAAAUUCCUGAGCUCAACUCGGGCGCUGCUUCUGAAACUGCAGGACUUGAGUGCUGGAGGGGAUAGCGGAAUUCCUAGUGGAGCGGUAAAAUGCGCAGAUAUUAGGAAGAACACCGGUGGCGAAGGCGGCUAUCUGGACAGUAACUGACGCUGAGGCGCGAAAGCGGGGGGAGCAAACAGGAUUAGAUACCCGGGUAGUCCACGCCGUAAACGAUGAAUACUAGGUGUAGGGGGUAUCGACUCCCUCUGUGCCGCAGUUAACACAAUAAGUAUUCCGCCUGGGGAGUACGGCCGCAAGGUUGAAACUCAAAUGAAUUGACGGGG
Molecule: ribosomal RNA, 397 nt
Filed under: uncultured bacterium
Lineage: Bacteria
Description: partial 16S ribosomal RNA
Rfam family: Bacterial small subunit ribosomal RNA
Source: RNAcentral